CCUCCUCCUAACUUCAGAAGCGGGUUUAAUUAAACUCUUUAUGGCUAAAUUACUUUUUUGCAGCAACGGGAUUCAUUUUGUGUUCUGCUUGCACCGAAGAUUCAGGAAAUGUCUUCUUAACAGAGAUCAAAGCACCUCCUCUCCCAUGGCGACUCGCUACCCCUCAGCAAUGACUUUGCCUCACCUGUCUGUGAAUGCCCCGUCUUUGACAUCACACGGUGGAUCCUACCUCCUGGCAGCGGUCCAGAGGAGAAAAAAGUUCCUCGCUGGUCCCCUCUCUUCCGUAUUAGUUUCCAAAAAGGCAUCUCUAAUGCUGCCAGGGAGCGCCGCGCUGUGAGGCAGCGAGAAACGCGAGGCGAGCGGAUUGCUAUCUUUGUGACAGCUUUUCCGCUUGGCAGGGCUGCGUGUGAGCCGGGGAACUGGACUGGACUGUGGUGU
Anoplopoma fimbria (sablefish) is the source of this 438-nucleotide long non-coding RNA. RefSeq lists it as uncharacterized. The record is from RefSeq and is a predicted model, not a curated record. The transcript is spliced from 3 exons. NCBI's taxonomy places the organism in Eukaryota, Metazoa, Chordata, Actinopteri, Perciformes, Anoplopomatidae.